Molecule: signal recognition particle RNA, 98 nt
Filed under: Thermoanaerobaculia bacterium
Lineage: Bacteria; Pseudomonadati; Acidobacteriota; Thermoanaerobaculia
Description: signal recognition particle sRNA small type
Rfam family: Bacterial small signal recognition particle RNA
About the family: The signal recognition particle (SRP) is a universally conserved ribonucleoprotein involved in the co-translational targeting of proteins to membranes. Archaeal SRP consists of a 7S RNA and homologues of the eukaryotic SRP19 and SRP54 proteins. In most bacteria, the SRP consists of a 4.5S RNA and the Ffh protein (a homologue of the eukaryotic SRP54 protein).
Source: RNAcentral
GCUCGGGUCCUGUGCAGCAGGCGCACCGAACCUCGUCAGGUCCGGAAGGAAGCAGCGAUAAGGUGCUUCACCUGUGUGCCGCAGUAAACCUGGGCUCU